Molecule: long non-coding RNA, 395 nt
Organism: Leptinotarsa decemlineata (Colorado potato beetle)
Lineage: Eukaryota; Metazoa; Arthropoda; Insecta; Coleoptera; Chrysomelidae
Source: RefSeq, a predicted model, not a curated record
UUGCGCUGUUCAGUGAGGAUGUUUCACGAAAUUGUUCUUAUUCAUAUCAUAAUGAUUCUGGGAAUUCAAGUGAGGUUAAUACAACUGAUAUUACUAGUUAUUCAUACAAGGAUUUGAGUUCUGAUCAAAUACCGGAAUCUGAAAGAAUACUCCAGUGUUCCAAGGGUUCAAUUAGUACUUCUGUAGGAACAAAUGGAACUGUGGACUCAUCACAGUUGACACAAAAGGAGGAGACUGUUGAAAAAACCAAAAAAGGACAUUAUAAAGAUAAACGAACAUUCUGCUUCUAUUGCGAAAAAGAUGUUUACCAUUUUCCGAGGCAUCUAUCUACAUGGCAUGAAAAUGAAAUAGAAGUACAGCGUAUCUUUUCAUAUGAAAGUAGGUCGAAAGAAAGA